RNAcentral lists this ribosomal RNA (473 nucleotides) under uncultured bacterium. Its description in RNAcentral is "bacterial SSU rRNA". It matches the Rfam family "Bacterial small subunit ribosomal RNA", at positions 329 to 793 of the family's 1533-position model. The record is from RNAcentral.
GCAGAGCAUCCUACGGGAGGCAGCAGUGGGGAAUAUUGCACAAUGGGCGCAAGCCUGAUGCAGCCAUGCCGCGUGUAUGAAGAAGGCCUUCGGGUUGUAAAGUACUUUCAGCAGUGAGGAAGGUGGGUAUGUUAAUAGCAUACUCAUUUGACGUUAGCUGCAGAAGAAGCACCGGCUAACUCCGUGCCAGCAGCCGCGGUAAUACGGAGGGUGCGAGCGUUAAUCGGAAUUACUGGGCGUAAAGCGCAUGCAGGUGGUUUGUUAAGUCAGAUGUGAAAGACCCGGGGCUCAACCUCGGAAUUGCAUUUGAAACUGGCAAACUAGAGUACUGUAGAGGGGGUAGGAAUUUCAGGUGUAGCGGUGAAAUGCGUAGAGAUCUGAAGGAAUACCGGUGGCGAAGGCGGCCCCCUGGACAGAUACUGACACUCAGAUGCGAAAGCGUGGGGAGCAAACAGGAUUAGAUACCCUGGUAG